This is a non-coding RNA of Anas platyrhynchos (mallard), 8646 nucleotides long. The record is from RefSeq and is a predicted model, not a curated record. NCBI's taxonomy places the organism in Eukaryota, Metazoa, Chordata, Aves, Anseriformes, Anatidae.
CUUUUAAGCCAAGCAGCAGGAGUGAAAAGAACAAGCAUUUAUUUAUCACCCUUCACUAAUUGCUACCAGCUGUAUUUACACCAACCCUCCUGGGACCCAGAGGGUGCUUUCAGCCUUCUGCCCCCCGUGCUUGUUCCCUGGUGCUGACAGGGUGGCGGUGGGGCUGCAGCUCCACAGGGACCCAACGGCAGGGUGCAAAGGGAUGGGAGAUCCACCUCUGUGCUUUGGGGCCCUGGGACAGAGGGCACUACAGCACUCCUCGAGGAGCCAGCUAUUUCCACAGCUGUUUUGCAGAAGCUUCAGAGGAAGGAGAUCUGGCCAAACGCCCUCCCAGGAGGACAAGGAACAGCCCAGAGCACCCUUGGCAGCCACCAGCCCUGCAGCACAGCAUCAUCCACAUCAUCCCGCCUGCUCCUGCUCUGUGUCCCCAGCCAGGCUGCAGAAGAGGUGGUGCUGCAUGUCUGAGACCCCCGGGUUUUUGCUCUCCUCCUGUUAGCACUGCAGGCAACCCCAGCAGGCAUUCAGUGAGUUUUUUACUGCAGGAUCUCCCAAGGGAAGGUCUGAAUCUCUUUAGUUACAGCAGUUGUGGAUUUUACAUCUCGCAUAUCAAAGCAAGGAAAGGAAGAAAUAACAGAAACCUGGAUGGAGUCACAUCUGCGCUAAGCAAUUGGGUUUACGCUAGGCACCUGGCUGCAUCUUUUUAGAUGCAAAGAGUAAAAAGCCACCGGGCUUAUUACACCAAAUGAUGUUAUUCUUUUUUGAGGAGCUGGCUUCGUGGCCCUCGCUGAGCUCCCGGCAGCAGCAACACACGAAGUGCAGGAAGCCCAGCAGCCAGCACGCUGCUCUGAAUGCUAAACACCCUUUGCAUAACCCAGCCUGAGCCUCCUUCGAGAUGCUGGAGGUCCUGGUGCGCUCAGCCCAAGCUGCUUUACAACAGACUUCCUAAAGCACACCCAGGCUUUCUCCAGCAGCUUUCCAGCCAGCCUCCAUCCACCUGGAAAUCCACCUUGCUUGGGGGAAGCAAAGGGAGUGGGAGGGCUCCAUCCCUCACCGCAUGAACCUGGUGAACAACCUAGCAAGCACUGCUCCUGCUGUUCCUCAGCUCCCAGGUAGCUCUCUGACACUCGAGAUAAGCAGGACAGGCUCCGUGGGCUGCAGAGUGAGAUGAAGAAAGUCAAUCGGCAAUAAAUCUGCACCAACGAGAGUAAAGUCUUCCCAGAGCAACAUGCUGAGCACAAAGCAGCAGGUAGGGGAUCACAGCUCAGCCCGAACUGGUGCUUCACUCUAGAGGUCUCUGGUGUCUUUAGCCUCCAAACCUGCGUCCAUUGACUCCGAAUUUUAAGCAUAUGCUCCACUACAAAGCAGUUUAAGAUGCAUCCAAGAAGGACGUGCUGCCAAGUGGGAAGGGGAGGAAAAAAGGCUCAGCCUCAGGCUUGCUCCUGGUGCAGCAACCUCUCUGCCUCUAUCGUGCCGGAGCUGAACACACUGAAGCUGCUCUCAGCCAUCAGGACGGUCAGUGACUGUUACCUGAAUUACCAGCCCCAGCCACUCUGUCCCUAAAUACUAUUCAUGAGAUUCUCAUCUAAACAGAAGCUGAUACAAGCUAGAAAAAAGCUAUGUGGGUGAGGCAAUGAUCCCUCUCCAGGCUGGUGGCAGAGCCUGCCUGGGCUCUUCUGAAUCUUGGUGUCUACCUGGAGGGGGGAAGAGAUUUCUGCCUCUGGCAGCUCCUCAGCAGGUCUCGGAGCAAGGUCACCGCUGGGCUGCCCUGCAGACACUCACUCACAGGGAGACAGCUCCUUCUCUCCCAGGCACAGGCAUUGCUUCAGCAGGAGGCAGCAGCUAGAUUACACGAGAUAAUUUACUGGCUGGCAUUAAAACACCUUGUUUAGCCUGGAAGAAAGAUGUCUUCAUUCAGCCUAAGCCACAUUAAGACAGACUUUGCAGUAAGUUUUGCACAGCUGCUCACCCGGGCAGCUGGAGGAAGGCUGCCCCCGAGCCAGCAUUGCCCCCAGCAUCACGCCCUUGCUGGAAAUCGGGAGCAACAGCAGGGACUUGGGGAGUAAAUGGAUUCUUUUCCAGUCUAAAUCUUCCUCUCUUUAGUAGAACAGAUUUAAUUUUCUAGCUUUUCUGUAUGAAUUACUCGUUACCUUGUUCCUGGUCGUGGGUUCCUGGCCUACAGCUAUCAGAAGACUGAGAUGAAUUUUGCUGCAGCUCAAGCAGCUGAUGCUCAAUUUUAACUUAAUGCUGUGCUGUAAGCAGAGCCAGGACCGAAGCCAUUGAGUUAAUAGUAUCCUGAACGAGACCAGGAACAGGGAGAAGAGAUGUAAUGGGAUGCAGCGAGGAAGGAUAUUUUAAGCACUGGUUUAUCUGAUAAAUUCUGUAGUUCUACAUCCUGUGCUCCACUUUCCCUGCAGCCCAUCAGCAGGCAGACGAAAACAAUUUUUCCAUAGCAUAAGCAAAAGAGAAGCAAUCAAAACCUUGCUCCCAGUGCAAGAUUCAGCUGCACAGGUGCCACUUCCAUAACCUUUGGAGACCUUCAGAAUAAAGGAAUUGCAAAAGACUAUAAAGAUAGUUGAAGAUAAAGAUAUAAUCCUUGUCCAACCCCCUUUUUGAUGCUUGGAAGCAUUGGGGAUUCAAUCAGGCACCAGCAUGGGAGGAUUUGCUCCCAGGCAAAGAAGCAUGAAGCGGUUGUGGCUUUUAGUAGCAGGACCCAGAGGUCCCUGCACACAGCAGUAUUGCAUCUUUUUAAAAAACAAAACAAAACACUAUUGCAAGGCCCAAAACCUUCCUUAUGCCUAGCUUGUGUUUCCCCUCUCAGCAUGUUUUUCUAAGAGCUCAAGCUGAAGGAGCAGAAUUCAGAGGCCACCAGCACUUCCAGCUUGCUCUUGCUCCCUGUGGCUGCCCAGCUGGAGAGCUCUCACCUAGAGCUGCAGGAGAGCUGCUGACAUGUCCCAAGGCACUGCCCUCCUGAACCUAGUUCCUAGCCUUCUUCCACCAGGAUUUGCUCUGGGCUGGUGUUUGUGGAUCGGGAGCUCCUGGAGGCGAUGGACACAGGGACUUACCUCACCUGCAUGAACUGUGACAGCGCUGCCCAGCUGGCACCAGCUGAGGAUUUAGCCUGAGGACCAGACCCUAAACAGUGCGACCCUGAGAGCCUCACAAAUCUGAUCUCUGCAUGUCCCUGACCUGCAACAAAAGGGUGAGAGACCAGAGAGAACCCGGGGUGCAUCCAUCCUCUUCCAGAUUUGCUCUCUGGAGCUCUGUGAGGGAGGUCAGAGACCUUUAGCAUAUGUGGUACUAAGCUUGGAGUGAGGGUGUCCGGGCUUCUCCCCACACUUUAAGCCUGCCACGCGUGCAGACUGUGGCCGUUCCCCUUCCUCUGCAGGCUUCUCGCUGCUCUGCAGCUCAGUCGUUCUGUACCUGCACACAGCAUUAACCCAACCAGAACAUUUUGUUCAGUUACACGGUUGCUGCAUUUUAACAGCAACAGAGGAGCACUUCAGACAUCAUCUAAUGAGCCUUUUUCUACUUUGCAUAAAAACUUGGCAAUAAAGCUUCCAAGGAUGAUAAAGGAGGAGAGCAGCCAAGGAACGGGUGGGCAGGGACAGUGCCUAACGCCCCCUCCUCUCCCUCGUGCACAGGGCAGGGGUUACACAGGGAACCCAGCACUGCACCGGGCAGCCCUCAGGACCGAAUUCAGCUCCCCCAGCCGUGCAGGGUCAGCAUUAACAGCUGCUUUCUGCUCUCCUGGUGCACCCACCUGAGUCCCAGCUCACCUUUUGGAUUCCACAGGAGCUCUCUUCCCCAGCACCACACAUACAGCUGUCCAGUCCAGAGAGGAGACCAGCAAGGCUGGGGGCUCAUCAGGACAUUUGCUCUGAGUGUGUUUUUUCCACUGCCUUGAAAAGACACUGAGCCUACACCUGAGCUCCCUCGGAAAGCCCCAGUUCUUUGCCAGCAAGGCACGAGGCAGCCGCAGCCACCCCGCUCCUUCUGAGCUUUGCCAGGGGCUCCUGCCCUCCUACAGCCUCCUCCUGCCAAUAAAUGCUCAUCGGGGCUGAAGUCUUCCACCACCCGAGCUCUUCCCUUGUUCUGGGAUGCUCAGAGGACUGCUGACUCCUGAACUAACCAUUGUAUUGAAAUAGACAGCCGGUGCAGGAGCAGAAGCUUCUGUGUGCUAGAAGCAGAAGCUGCCCUGGUACCUUUGUAGGGAGUUAGCUCAGGAGCAUCCAGAGCUGCAGGGGCAUCUCAGGGGGAUUUCCACCCACAGCUUGCAAGCCUUUUUCUGUGUUUUAGGACAGAGAAACAUCAAGUGUCCGACACCACUAUGCCUUUCCCCCUCCUUAUUUAUUCUUGUGGUGCCCACAGCCUGGUAGGCAUGGGACGUGUUCUUCCUUCCCUGGGGAAUGGGGUCUGGAUGCUCCCCACACAGUGGGCUUCCCAACAGCACCAGGUUUACUGAGUACUAUUUAGAUUAAUUUGUCUCAGAUCAAUCAGGACUGAAGGUGAAGUUGCAGCUACCAUAGUGAGCUCCACAGCGCUCCUGUCGCCUGGUGUUUGGUGUAGGCAGCGCUCCUUUUGGGGACAAAAUAGAGCAUUUAAGUGGUAAAUUAGAUCCUUGGGAUGCACAGAAUAAUUCAGAGAGAGGCAAGGAGGCUCCUAGAGCUGUUAACUGCUGCAAUUCUGGAUGGCCAUGUGUUUCACUGCAGACAGGAGACUUUGCAAGGAGCAUCGAAUGAAAUGCUAGGGACAGAAACACGAGAAGAAAUCUUUCAGGAUAUCAGAGUUGCCUUUCUCUUGUUCUAACACAGGUGGCUGCGUCCUUCUGACCAGCAGAAAGCUGCAGAGGGUUAUUCUUGUAAAAAACAUCACUGCUACCACCACUGAACUUCCAAGAACAAAAUCAAUUCCCUGUUUCAGGACAGAGAGAUCAGGACUGUAGCCUCCAAAAGGAGGGUUGUCUGUAGGGCUGUACACUCAGUUACCGACCUCGCACACCGCAGAUCUCUCUCCAAGCACCAGCCUCCAUCACCCCUUCCCCCCAAAGGGGAAGGAAGCCCAGCACUGCUGUACGCCGGGUGUUUGCACACAGACAGGAGCUCACCUCUAAGCUGUCUCGAGGAAAUCCUCAGCACUACAGCUAGAGCAAGGACAGCAAACAGGACCUUUUAUUUGAUGUAUAACAUGCCAUGCGUUAGAACAAAUUUGAGAGAAAACACUUAAAGCCCAGAUUUAAGUGGAAAAUAGCCUAAAAGUCAAAAUGGCUAAUGGUCUGACAAGGAACAUGCAGGACUAAUUUAGGACUUCUUUCCUAGGAUCCUGAAUUUAAUAGGCAUUAAAUCAUGUAGGUGCUUUUUGGUGAAGCACCUGUGAUUAUGCUGCAGUGGGAAAUUCUUAGUGAAGGUGAAGCAGAGACAAGGAGAAAAGCAGGGAGAGGAGCUGGUGAAAGGAGAGGGAUGGCAAUGGCCCUGACAAGGGGGGCUGUGCUUGCCAGGACAGCAGGGAUGGAGCUCCUCUAAGGGCUGAUUUUGCUUAAUAGCUCUUGAAUUAUCCUGCUGGAAGGGCAGAACCGUGCAGGUGAAGUGCCCUCCCUGGGCUCCAGCUGGCUCUGCUUGCCCUGAGCAGCCCACCUGGGGCUUCCCCCCUUGGCUCAGGAGAGGUAUUUCAGCUCAGCCUGGGAACCAACUUGUGUUGUGUGUGGCUUCUUGUGCCCAGGGAUGUGUGGAGGUCACUGGCUGUUAUCAGCAGAGCUUCUCUCACCCAGCAAGGACCCGUGGAACACUUAUCAGAAUUAAUAUGCAAAAGUUGCUGCCAAGUACCAGAAGUGAAGAACUCUGCCUGUUGAAACUAGCAACACCCAAAGUCCCUAGUCGAGGGGCAGUCCUUAUUUAAUGCUUCAUGUGAAGAACCUGAGAAGAGCUUCUAUUUUUGUGUGUGCUUGAUCUCCACUUGAUUGUACCACUUUGCCAUGUAAAUCAGCCAGAAGCUCCCAGUAAAACAGCUGUGGAUAACUCGACCAUUCGUCCUUUAGUACAAGAAUUGGUGCAGCCUCACCACGCUGAGACCUCUGUCUCAUUGCGCUGGCAUCUCACCAGGAUUGUGGCUGGACCAUGAAGGUUACUGACUGUGUAAGUAAAGGCUGUGAAGAUGGACUUCUUGCCAGGUACAGAACUGAGCUUUUUCAGACUCUGCUUGAACACAGAUGUCAUUCAGACAAUGGAUUCACAUGUGGCAAACUAAGCUGUGUACACCUGAAAAUACUGCAAAUAUAUGGGCAGGAGUACUGCGAGCCUAAAAAUGAUGGAUCCAUGCACUGGGAGUGGCAAAUUUAUCCCUGGAUGAAUCAGCUGCACUUCCCUCAGGCUUUCUCAUGCCUGCCUCUGGAUGUGCAGGCACGGCUGCCUCCUUUGUAGGCUCGUUGCUCCAGUCUGUUCCUCGGGGUUCACUUCUCUCCGUGUGUCCAUCACCUGUCUGUGUAGUGAUGCUGCUGCAAGGUACAUCUCCGUGGGUGAAGGCAGGUUCACUUCUAUAAAGAUGCCUCCACUGGCAGAGCGAUUCCCUUCUCUGGCAGCAGCUGGAGCAGAAUAAAUGAUCCUAGUUGUAUUUGCAUUCAUGGUAGUAAGAGUGGGUGUUAGUUUGCAUGUGAUUAAGUCUGUGCUCUGGUGUACAGGCAAGACCUAAGGGUUUUAGGCUGUCAUCUUUGUGAGGAGGAUUUAGGGACUUUAUUCUGAGAAUCCCAGAAGAGGCUUUCUUGCUAAGUGGCCUUUAGUGUCAUCUGUAAAUGCCCAAAUGGUUUUAAAAGCCUGGCAUUGCAUUGUUCAAAUGUUUCAGCACCUGUCUGUGAAGAUAAGGUGUGAUUAUCAAAGGCACCUGCUACUACUGAGCCCUUUCGUCUCAGUGGGAAACCCUCUCAAAGCCACUGAAAGCCCCAGGCAUGCAGCCCCUCGGGGUCUGUGCUUUAAAGGGAGGUGGAUACAACCCAGAUAACGGUGCUGCAGCACUGCCAUCCCGUCUGGCUGCUGACCUCCGUGCCUAUCGUCUUUCUAAGCCCAGACACAUUGAUUGCAAAAGGUAACGAAAGGAUCAAUCCGACAGAGCACCUGGAGUGGGGAAAGAGCAAGCUCACGCACACUGGCAAAACCCAAUUGACAAUGUAAAGCCUUGAGUAAGCAGAGAAGUCCUUGCAGGAGCAUUGUUCGGCCUUGAGCAUUAGGAUUGCCAUCAAAAUACUGCUGAAAUCAAUAGGUUGUGUUGAUCCAUGCUGUCGGGGCUCAGGUGAGGCCAAGGGUGAACGCAGAGCUCCAACACAGCCACGGCGAUCCUGCUCAUGGUGCUGAGGGGCCGGCGAUGCUCUGACAGACCGUGUCCUCCUCAAAGUAAUGGCCUGGGUUCCUAAAUCAUGCUGUUAUCUGUGAGACGGAUUUGUAACGUCUUUCUUGGUAUCCCGUGUCUCAUCACCAGCAGGCUGAGGGAAUGGAUUGCUCUUCUCCACCUCCACCAUCAGUUUGUGGCAGCGAGCUGAGCCCUGCUGGGAAGGGAUCGCAGGGAGUUUGGGGAAACCCAUCUUGAGUCCUGUGUUUAUUGACCCGUGUCUAUUGUCCUGUAGCCUUUGGAUUUGGGGCUUUUAAGGAGCAGCAAGGCAUUUUGUCCAUUUAGCCUGCAGGCUCCUCCAUGGGAGAAGAGUGCUGCGGUGACUGGGUGGCUCUGGGGGUGGCAGCAGAGCUAAAUUAAGGUGCUGGAAGCUGUUCUGCAGGAAGAUGCUACGGGAUGGAGUUUUCCUCCCAGAGGGGAGCGGGAGCCUCACCUCUGCAAGCAGGGCUGCCAAGGCUGGAAGAGGGCAACUUCUCCCCCCUGCCCAUUCAGUCUUCCCUGGUGCCCACUCCUCCAGCACUGCAGUGUGCAGCAGGCUUUGGGAUGCCCCAUCUGCCUGUCUCCAUCUGGAUUCCUCCUAGCCCAGAGACCUCUAAAAGAGUCUCCUGAAGAAGGGGGCAGUGAAUGGGGUGCAGGGCAGCCUUCCCGCAGGUCCCAACAGGCCUGAAAACCCAAAUGGGUCACAGGCUGCAUUCCCUCCGAUGCCAAAAUUAACACAGGUCAAUAGACAGCAUGGUACACAUUUGCCCUGGCUCAGUCCCUGGAUGUCUCAGGGCUCUCCUUGGCUUGGAUCUAAUUUCUGACACGAGCUGUAAAUUUGCCCCAAAUUAACACGGAGAGCUGUGGCCCUGAAUCUGAGCUGGAUUGCCAAAGCUGCUUUGUGUGCCUUGCUGACAGCAGCGGUUGGUGCUGCUUGUCCCAUCUGUCUACGUGCAGACUCCAGCUCAACGCUUAGCCUUGUACCAGGGGCAGCUGCUCCGUGCUCCUCACACACCAGGGAGCUUGGGGCUGCCACCAGCCCCUUGCUGCUGUGGUUCGGCUGAUGGAGGGCACCCGGGAAAGGGCUGCACCCCCAGCACCCUCCUGCAGGGCUGCUACAGAUGAAGCACACUUGAGAGCACCCAGGAGACGGCUGGCAACAGAAUAAGCCCUGCCCCAGCCCUGCUGCUGACUCCCUGCCCGCAGAUGGUGGAAAGGCAGCUGGAAAUUUUGGCAAUGUCCUGGAGUUUGAAUUCAGUGGUUGUGUAGAGAAAACUCUGCAGGAAACACCCUGGA